GACUUGAAGACGUAAGCUGAGCCUCUUUCUUGAUUUGCUUGACAGACUAUCGGGAAUCGGGAAAAGGCAAAGGGCACAGUCUUUAGGAGCUUAUUCAUACAAGACUUGCUGUCGUUAGGGCUGUCUUUCCUAACAUGGAGACUGUCCGCUUUCAAACUGAGACUAUACUUGGAUAUGCAAACAAGAGAAUGGGCCAUACGGGUGCUUUAGAUUACCAUAACGAAGAUCUAAACUAUGCCAUCGAAAGAGAGCUUUCGUAGGUUACGUCAUUCUAAAAAUCAAGCGGGAAUGUAGACUAGUGAUCCGUAGUUCCAUAACCACAUAGUGGCAAAAGUGGAGUUUUCAAGUCAAGCGAGAAAGCAAGUGGAUCAGAAAAUUAUCUCGUGCUGGUAGCGAGAAGGAAGUAGGCAGAUUGAGAGAUUCUUUCUUUCCAGGCUCCGAGGCAGAUGAAGAAAACCUAUCUCUUUCCGCUUAGGUGCCGUCAGAGAACUCGCUCUUUGCCUUUCUGCUUCAAAGAAAGAGGUGGGGAGAACCACGUUCCGCCAAAAUGUGCCAGAGCGAGUGAAAGGCCCCACGGUGUUAACUUGCCAUCUCCAACAAAUCUGCUAGCAGCCCAUUCGAGUUCCGCUUGGA
Molecule: long non-coding RNA, 633 nt
Filed under: Phoenix dactylifera (date palm)
Lineage: Eukaryota; Viridiplantae; Streptophyta; Magnoliopsida; Arecales; Arecaceae
Description: long non-coding RNA (PDAC_LNC001562)
Source: RNAcentral